AUUGAACGCUGGCGGCAUGCUUUACACAUGCAAGUCGAACGGUAACAGGUUAAGCUGACGAGUGGCGAACGGGUGAGUAAUGCAUCGGAACGUGCCCGAUCGUGGGGGAUAACGCAGCGAAAGCUGCGCUAAUACCGCAUACGAUCUGAGGAUGAAAGCGGGGGACCGUAAGGCCUCGCGCGAUCGGAGCGGCCGAUGUCAGAUUAGGUAGUUGGUGGGGUAAAGGCUCACCAAGCCAACGAUCUGUAGCUGGUCUGAGAGGACGACCAGCCACACUGGGACUGAGAAACGGCCCCGACUCCUACGGGGGGCAGCAGUGGGGAAUUUUGGACAAUGGGCGAAAGCCUGAUCCAGCAGUGCCGCGUGCAGGAAGAAGGCCUUCGGGUUGUAAACUGCUUUUGUACGGAGCGAAAAGGCCCUCUCUAAUACAGUGGGCUCAUGACGGUACCGUAAGAAUAAGCACCGGCUAACUACGUGCCAGCCGCCGCGGUAA
This 493-nucleotide ribosomal RNA is filed under the name uncultured bacterium. Its description in RNAcentral is "partial 16S ribosomal RNA". It matches the Rfam family "Bacterial small subunit ribosomal RNA", at positions 29 to 523 of the family's 1533-position model. The record is from RNAcentral.